UACAGAGGGUGCAAGCGUUGUUCGGAAUUAUUGGGCGUAAAGCGCGUGUAGGCGGUCCUGCAAGUCGGAUGUGAAAGCCCUCGGCUUAACCGAGGAAGUGCGUUCGAUACUACAGAACUUGAGUACCGGAGAGGGUGGCGGAAUUCCCGGUGUAGAGGUGAAAUUCGUAGAUAUCGGGAGGAACACCAGUGGCGAAGGCGGCCACCUGGACGGCUACUGACGCGGAGAAGCGAAAGCGUGGGGAGCAAACAGG
RNAcentral lists this ribosomal RNA (253 nucleotides) under uncultured bacterium. RNAcentral's name for it is "partial 16S ribosomal RNA". It matches the Rfam family "Bacterial small subunit ribosomal RNA", at positions 524 to 776 of the family's 1533-position model. The record is from RNAcentral.